CAUGCAAAGUCGAACGGCAGCACGGACUUCGGUCUGGUGGCGAGUGGCGAACGGGUGAGUAAUGUAUCGGAACGUGCCUAGUAGCGGGGGAUAACUACGCGAAAGCGUAGCUAAUACCGCAUACGCCCUACGGGGGAAAGCAGGGGAUCGCAAGACCUUGCACUAUUAGAGCGGCCGAUAUCGGAUUAGCUAGUUGGUGGGGUAACGGCUCACCAAGGCGACGAUCCGUAGCUGGUUUGAGAGGACGACCAGCCACACUGGGACUGAGACACGGCCUAGACUCCUACGGGAGGCAGCAGUGGGGAAUUUUGGACAAUGGGGGAAACCCUGAUCCAGCCAUCCCGCGUGUGCGAUGAAGGCCUUCGGGUUGUAAAGCACUUUUGGCAGGAAAGAAACGUCAUGGGCUAAUACCCCGUGAAACUGACGGUACCUGCAGAAUAAGCACCGGCUAACUACGUGCCAGCAGCCGCGGUAAUACGUAGGGUGCAAGCGUUAAUCGGAAUUACUGGGCGUAAAGCGUGCGCAGGCGGUUCGGAAAGAAAGAUGUGAAAUCCCAGAGCUUAACUUUGGAACUGCAUUUUUAACUACCGAGCUAGAGUGUGUCAGAGGGAGGUGGAAUUCCGCGUGUAGCAGUGAAAUGCGUAGAUAUGCGGAGGAACACCGAUGGCGAAGGCAGCCUCCUGGGAUAACACUGACGCUCAUGCACGAAAGCGUGGGGAGCAAACAGGAUUAGAUACCCUGGUAGUCCACGCCCUAAACGAUGUCAACUAGCUGUUGGGGCCUUCGGGCCUUGGUAGCGCAGCUAACGCGUGAAGUUGACCGCCUGGGGAGUACGGUCGCAAGAUUAAAACUCAAAGGAAUUGACGGGGACCCGCACAAGCGGGUGGAUGAUGUGGGAUUAAUUCGAUGCAACGCGAAAACCUUACCUACCCUUUGACAUGUCUGGAAUUCCGAAGAGAUUUGGGAAGUGCUCGCAAGAGAACCGGGAACACAGGUGCUGCAUGGCUGUCGUCAGCUCCGUGUC
RNAcentral lists this ribosomal RNA (1024 nucleotides) under bacterium enrichment culture clone bHCH6_H6. RNAcentral's name for it is "bacterial SSU rRNA". It matches the Rfam family "Bacterial small subunit ribosomal RNA", at positions 54 to 1066 of the family's 1533-position model. The record is from RNAcentral.